This 310-nucleotide ribosomal RNA is filed under the name Enterobacter cancerogenus. Its description in RNAcentral is "bacterial SSU rRNA". It matches the Rfam family "Bacterial small subunit ribosomal RNA", at positions 64 to 376 of the family's 1533-position model. The record is from RNAcentral. Lineage: Bacteria; Pseudomonadati; Pseudomonadota; Gammaproteobacteria; Enterobacterales; Enterobacteriaceae.
GAACGGUAGCACAGAGAGCUUGCUCUCGGGUGACGAGUGGCGGACGGGUGAGAAAUAGUCUGGGAAACUGCCUGAUGGAGGGGGAUAACUACUGGAAACGGUAGCUAAUACCGCAUAACGUCGCAAGACCAAAGAGGGGGACCUUCGGGCCUCUUGCCUCAGAUGUGCCCAGAUGGGAUUAGCUAGUAGGUGGGGUAACGGCUCACCUAGGCGACGAUCCCUAGCUGGUCUGAGAGGAUGACCGCCCACUGGAACUGAGACACGGUCCAGACUCCUACGGGAGGCAGCAUGGGCAAUAUUGCCUAUGGGC